Molecule: ribosomal RNA, 506 nt
Filed under: uncultured bacterium
Lineage: Bacteria
Description: partial 16S ribosomal RNA
Rfam family: Bacterial small subunit ribosomal RNA
Source: RNAcentral
AUUGAACGCUGGCGGCAGGCCUAACACAUGCAAGUCGAACGGUAACAGGAAGAAGCUUGCUUCUUUGCUGACGAGUGGCGGACGGGUGAGUAAUGUCUGGGAAACUGCCUGAUGGAGGGGGAUAACUACUGGAAACGGUAGCUAAUACCGCAUAACGUGGCAAGACCAAAGAGGGGGACCUUCGGGCCUCUUGCCAUCGGAGGUGCCCAGAUGGGAUUAGCUAGUUGGUGGAGUAACGGCUCACCAAGGCGACGAUCCCUAGCUGGUCUGGGAGGAUGACCAGCCACACUGGAACUGAGACACGGUCCAGACUCCUACGGGAGGCAGCAGUGGGGAAUAUUGCACAAUGGGCGCAAGCCUGAUGCAGCCAUGCCGCGUGUAUGAAGAAGGCCUUCGGGUUGUAAAGUACUUUCAGCGGGGAGGAAGGGAGUAAAGUUAAUACCUUUGCUCAUUGACGUUACCCGCAGAAGAAGCACCGGCUAACUCCGUGCCAGCCGCCGCCGUAA